Molecule: transfer RNA, 92 nt
Filed under: Candidatus Saccharimonadota bacterium
Lineage: Bacteria; Candidatus Saccharimonadota
Description: tRNA-Ser
Rfam family: tRNA
About the family: Transfer RNA (tRNA) molecules are approximately 80 nucleotides in length. Their secondary structure includes four short double-helical elements and three loops (D, anti-codon, and T loops).
Source: RNAcentral
GGAGAGGUGUCCGAGUGGUUGAAGGAGCACGCUUGGAAAGCGUGUAUGCGCAGCGAUGCGUAUCGAGGGUUCGAAUCCCUCUCUCUCCGCCA